Molecule: ribosomal RNA, 330 nt
Filed under: uncultured eukaryote
Lineage: Eukaryota
Description: partial 18S ribosomal RNA
Rfam family: Eukaryotic small subunit ribosomal RNA
Source: RNAcentral
CCCUUAGAUGUUCGGGGCCGCACGCGCGCUACACUGAAGGAAUCAGCACGUCUUUCUCCUUGUCCGAAAGGACUGGGUAACCCGCUGAACCUCCUUCGUGCUAGGGAUUGGGGCUUGUAAUUCUUCCCCAUGGACGAGGAAUUCCCAGUAAGCGCGAGUCAUAAGCUCGCGUUGAUUACGUCCCUGCCCUUUGUACACACCGCCCGUCGCUACUACCGAUUGGAUGGUUUAGUGAGAUCCUCGGAUUGGUCCCGGAGCGGCCUCUGGUCGUGCCGGAGUGCCGAAAAGAAUGUCGAACUUGAUCAUCUAGAGGAAGUAAAAGUCGUAACA